RNAcentral lists this transfer RNA (73 nucleotides) under Loxodonta africana (African savanna elephant). It matches the Rfam family "tRNA". Rfam says of the family: Transfer RNA (tRNA) molecules are approximately 80 nucleotides in length. Lineage: Eukaryota; Metazoa; Chordata; Mammalia; Proboscidea; Elephantidae. The record is from Rfam by way of RNAcentral.
GACCACAUGGUCUAGUGGAUAAGGCGUCUGACUUCGGAUUGGAAGACUAAGGAUUCGAAUCCCUUCGUGGUUG